CCCCAUUACUGUGACGUUACCUACAGAAGAAGGACCGGGCUAACUUCGUGCCAGCAGCCGCGGUAAUACGAGGGGUCCAAGCGUUAAUCGGAAUUACUGGGCGUAAAGCGUACGCAGGCGGUUCAUUAAGCCAGAUGUGAAAUCCCCGGGCUCAACCUGGGAAUUGCAUUUGGAACUGGUGAACUAGAGUCUUGUAGAGGGGGGUAGAAUUUCAGGUGUAGCGGUGAAAUGCGUAGAGAUCUGAAGGAAUACCGGUGGCGAAGGCGGCCCCCUGGACAAAGACUGACGCUCAUGUACGAAAGCGUGGGGAGCAAACAGGAUUAGAUACUCUGGUAGUCCACGCCGUAAACGAUGUCUACUCGGAGUUUGGUGCCUUGAGCACUGGGCUCCCAAGCUAACGCAUUAAGUAGACCGCCUGGGGAGUACGGCCGCAAGGUUAAAACUCAAAUGAAUUGACGGGGGCCCGCACAAGCGGUGGAGCAUGUGGUUUAAUUCGAUGCAACGCGAAGAACCUUACCUACUCUUGACAUCCAGAGAACUUUUCAGAGAUGAAUUGGUGCCUUCGGGAACUCUGAGACAGAGAGU
RNAcentral lists this ribosomal RNA (585 nucleotides) under Shewanella sp. S12CA. RNAcentral's name for it is "bacterial SSU rRNA". It matches the Rfam family "Bacterial small subunit ribosomal RNA", at positions 459 to 1042 of the family's 1533-position model. The record is from RNAcentral. Lineage: Bacteria; Pseudomonadati; Pseudomonadota; Gammaproteobacteria; Alteromonadales; Shewanellaceae.